GUGGUUUUCUGUGUGUGCUGUUUUGUUAAGUUUUGAAACCAGUGAAGGCAAUGCCCAGCCUGGAAGCCGUAUUUUUGUUAAGAACCAACGCAACUUGAAAAUUCAUAAGUGGGAGAUGAACAUUAGCGUGGCCCCGGAUCCGCAACUGCCUUUGUGUCCAAUCCAGAAGAAACUGGAGGGAAAAAAAGGACGAAAGAAAGCAGUUCAUGGACAUAGAAAAGGUAUCCAAGAAACAGGAGAAUGAGCAAUAUGCUGAAGCUUGUGAGUGAGAAAGGAGUGAGAAUGACAGCAGCUGGAUGAAGCAAGAAGGUGGGAGGAAAUAAAACUGAGAGACUCGAGCAUGAAAAAAGGUAUCAUCAGCAACAACUGCAGAUAUAUGAACAAAUGAGAAGAAAGAGAGCAUGAACUUCGUUUGUUCCAGUUAUUUGGGCAGAUGCUUUUUAACUCCCAAGGCAUGAGUACCCUGGUUCAAGCACCACAAUUUCUUCCCCUAGUUUUCCUUCUAGCCAUCAACGUUUUUCCCAAUCUCCAGCACGAACCUCGGGAGCUGCUACUCCGCCUCACGUGGAUGUAUAAUGGGACACGCUGACAUAUCCGAAAUCACCAACAUAUC
This is a long non-coding RNA of Acipenser ruthenus (sterlet), 613 nucleotides long. RefSeq lists it as uncharacterized. The record is from RefSeq and is a predicted model, not a curated record. NCBI's taxonomy places the organism in Eukaryota, Metazoa, Chordata, Actinopteri, Acipenseriformes, Acipenseridae. The transcript is spliced from 3 exons.